CAGGGUCCACCUGUUCCCGUUUCGCUCACAGAAGUUAAGCUGUGCGGAGCCGAAGAUACUUGACUGGCGACGGUCCGGAAAAAUAGGUCAAUGCCAACA
This 99-nucleotide ribosomal RNA is filed under the name Ruminococcus sp. The record is from RNAcentral. Lineage: Bacteria; Bacillati; Bacillota; Clostridia; Eubacteriales; Oscillospiraceae.